AUUGAACGCUGGCGGCAGGCCUAACACAUGCAAGUCGAGCGGAUGAAGGGAGCUUGCUCCUGGAUUCAGCGGCGGACGGGUGAGUAAUGCCUAGGAAUCUGCCUGGUAGUGGGGGAUAACGUCCGGAAACGGGCGCUAAUACCGCAUACGUCCUGAGGGAGAAAGUGGGGGAUCUUCGGACCUCACGCUAUCAGAUGAGCCUAGGUCGGAUUAGCUAGUUGGUGGGGUAAAGGCCUACCAAGGCGACGAUCCGUAACUGGUCUGAGAGGAUGAUCAGUCACACUGGAACUGAGAAACGGUCCAGACUCCUACGGGAGGCAGCAGUGGGGAAUAUUGGACAAUGGGCGAAAGCCUGAUCCAGCCAUGCCGCGUGUGUGAAGAAGGUCUUCGGAUUGUAAAGCACUUUAAGUUGGGAGGAGGGGCAGUAAGUUAAUACCUUGCUGUUUUGACGUUACCAACAGAAUAAGCACCGGCUAACUUCGUG
Molecule: ribosomal RNA, 484 nt
Filed under: uncultured bacterium
Lineage: Bacteria
Description: partial 16S ribosomal RNA
Rfam family: Bacterial small subunit ribosomal RNA
Source: RNAcentral